Molecule: ribosomal RNA, 802 nt
Filed under: Nocardiaceae bacterium I36
Lineage: Bacteria; Bacillati; Actinomycetota; Actinomycetes; Mycobacteriales; Nocardiaceae
Description: bacterial SSU rRNA
Rfam family: Bacterial small subunit ribosomal RNA
Source: RNAcentral
CGGCCGAGAAUGAUGAGCUCGCGGCCUAUCAGCUAGUUGGGGGGGUAACGGCCCACCAAGGCGACGACGGGUAGCCGGCCUGAGAGGGUGACCGGCCACACUGGGACUGAGACACGGCCCAGACUCCUACGGGAGGCAGCAGUGGGGAAUAUUGGACAAUGGGCGAAAGCCUGAUCCAGCAACGCCGCGUGAGGGAUGACGGCCUUCGGGUUGUAAACCUCUUUCAGCAGGGACGAAGCGAAAGUGACGGUACCUGCAGAAGAAGGACCGGCCAACUACGUGCCAGCAGCCGCGGUAAUACGUAGGGUCCGAGCGUUGUCCGGAAUUAUUGGGCGUAAAGGGCUCGUAGGCGGUUUGUCGCGUCGGGAGUGAAAACUCAGGGCUCAACCCUGAGCGUGCUUCCGAUACGGGCAGACUAGAGGUAUUCAGGGGAGAACGGAAUUCCUGGUGUAGCGGUGGAAUGCGCAGAUAUCAGGAGGAACACCGGUGGCGAAGGCGGUUCUCUGGGAAUAACCUGACGCUGAGGAGCGAAAGCAUGGGUAGCGAACAGGAUUAGAUACCCUGGUAGUCCAUGCCGUAAACGUUGGGCGCUAGGUGUGGGGACCUUCCACGGUCUCCGUGCCGCAGCUAACGCAUUAAGCGCCCCGCCUGGGGAGUACGGCCGCAAGGCUAAAACUCAAAGGAAUUGACGGGGCGCCCGCACAAGCGGCGGGAGCAUGCUGAUUAAUUCGAUGCAACGCGAAGAACCUUACCUUGGGUUUGACAUAUACCGGAAAAGCUGCAGAGAUGUAGCCCCCCUUGU